UUAGGAAAAGCCCAUGGGGCCUUGGUAUCAACCCACCAGGCCUUUGUAGGAGAGGUCCACUCAGCCUCAUCUGUGGCGCUGACCACGCCCAAGUGGUCGCAGGUGCAUUCGAGAGCGUGUGAUAUUUGGUCUGGGGUCCAGGACAGGCUCGCUCUCUCUUGCUUUCGGUCGGAGGGCAGCCGGUGUUGAUCCUUGGAGCAGGGACUUGCAGCGGUCAUCUGCAUCGCGUGUAAGCGAUUUCUCCCCGAAUAAACCUGUUUACUAUACUGAGUCUCGUGGCCUGGGGUUGUGUGUCUCCCUCCCCCUGUCGCCCAACUAGCCCUGAAGACCGCUUGUACCGGGGUUUAGUUGCGACCGCGCUCGGUCCCCAUGGAGCGGUGGCUUCACCACUUAUCCCAGCCGUCACUGCGGCUUAACCGCUCGGCCCGCGCAGUCCCACUGUGUGUAUCUGCUGUGGUGAUCGCUCAGUUCCCCGCACUUCCAGCUCUGCAGGUCCCUGCUAUUUGCGUUUCCUCCUCCUUUUUAAAACAAAAUCCCACCUGUUCUAAACUUGUUUGAGAGCCAUUUAGAAUUCACAGAAUCAAUUUGGGACCAGGGGACCAUCCCGGCAGCUGGACUCUGCUUGGCGGUACACACAUGCCUCCUGCUGGUCAAACAUAGUUACUGCAAGUUGAGAUCUACAAUUGAAAGAGAACACCACAGUUCCGAGGCUAGGAUAUUAGUGAAGGGACAGGAGAGAUGACUCAGAAAUAAGGAUCACUUGCUGCUCUUCCAGAGGACCCGAGUUUGAUUUCCAGCACCCAUGAUGGGCGACCUACAACACCAGCUCCAAGAGAUCCAAUACCCUUCUCUGGCUUCUGAAGGCACCCCCACACAUGUGCAUGCAAUUUCAGGUCCACAGAGGGACAGAAGCCCACUAGAGGAACAAACACAUGCAUUAAUAUUGAGAGCUCUUUCAUGCUUUAAACAAUUUUUCGAAGGAUGCUUUUAAAAAAUAAACGUAAUGAUGCUAAACUCUGAUAUUUGUAAAGGUCA
This 1035-nucleotide long non-coding RNA is filed under the name Cricetulus griseus (Chinese hamster). Its description in RNAcentral is "lncRNA (ENSCGRG00015042428.1)". The record is from RNAcentral. Lineage: Eukaryota; Metazoa; Chordata; Mammalia; Rodentia; Cricetidae.